This 919-nucleotide long non-coding RNA is filed under the name Sorghum bicolor (sorghum). RNAcentral describes it as "long non-coding RNA (SBIC_LNC005524)". The record is from RNAcentral. Lineage: Eukaryota; Viridiplantae; Streptophyta; Magnoliopsida; Poales; Poaceae.
ACUUUACUAAUUUUUUAGACACCAGGUACAAUCAUAAUGCUGCAAAUCGAGCAACAUCUUAAAAAAUGAACUAAAAUCUUAAUUUCUAUGGAAUCCAAGCAAACAAAGCAAGCCAAACAGGUCAGCUAAACCAUAAAACUUUGUCAUCUUUACUAAGUAAAUAAGGCAAGAAAAAAAAACUAGGACAAUAAAGCAAAACAGAACCCAUCAAGAUGUGAGGCACGUCUACGAGGCGAUCUCAUCAUGAGCUACCAAGAUCCCCAUCUGUGAGCCACAUUCCAUGGACAUUGUCGAGAGCAGGCAUCAUGAGGGACAUAGUGCAGCACUGCUACACACCAUAGAUCUACCGCACCCUUUGAAGCACAUUCAACACCUACAAAUCACACACAGCGAGCCACGCGGAGAGGCAAGCCAUGAAGCACAACAAAUAGAUGGAAAAAAAUGAAGAAAAAUCAAGGAUGACGAUAAGCCAGGGCAACUCACCUCGCACAGCCGGCAGGACGAAGCCCGGACGCCGCACCCACCGACAGGACCUGCCCUCGCCCCACCGCUGCGCCGUGCUCGCACUCACCGUGAAGAAAAAGCGAGGAUGACGAUAAGCCAGGGCGACUCAUCUCGCACAACCAACAGGACGAAGCCCGGACGCCGUGGCCACCGACAGGACCUGCCCUCGCCCUGCCGCUGCGCCGCACUCGCACUCACCGUCGGGGCCCAUCUGUGCGUCACGUCGACGGGCGCCCUUCCCCUGGUCAGCCCGCACCAGUGCCGCUGCUGCGCGGCGCCGCGUGAGGCUCAGAAUGGCCCGACACCCACGCCGGUGUGCCGCCGCCACGCACCACUCGCCACGGAGAAGCAAACGAUGAGGCGCGACCGAUGGACGGUGAAACAAAGGAAAAUGGAAAAUGGGGAGAAUUGGGUG